Molecule: unclassified non-coding RNA, 181 nt
Filed under: Uromyces appendiculatus
Lineage: Eukaryota; Fungi; Basidiomycota; Pucciniomycetes; Pucciniales; Pucciniaceae
Description: ITS2
Source: RNAcentral
AGUGCUGCUGUUAUCUAGCUCACUUUAAAUAUAUAAGUUCUAUCUUAUUAUAUUGGAUUGACUUGGUGUAAUAUUUAACUUUUGUUUCACCAAGGAAAGCUGCAAUGCUUGCCAAUGUUUUCAAGUCAGGACUCCUAAACAAAUGUUUUUUAAUUGUAUUUUAAGAGUCUCAAAUUCAGGU